This 625-nucleotide ribosomal RNA is filed under the name uncultured Clostridium sp. Its description in RNAcentral is "bacterial SSU rRNA". It matches the Rfam family "Bacterial small subunit ribosomal RNA", at positions 52 to 706 of the family's 1533-position model. The record is from RNAcentral. Lineage: Bacteria; Bacillati; Bacillota; Clostridia; Eubacteriales; Clostridiaceae.
CACAUGCAAGUCGAGCGAUUACUUCGGUAAAGAGCGGCGGACGGGUGAGUAACGCGUGGGUAACCUGCCCUGUACACACGGAUAACAUACCGAAAGGUAUGCUAAUACGAGAUAAUAUGCUUUUAUCGCAUGGUAGAAGUAUCAAAGCUUUUGCGGUACAGGAUGGACCCGCGUCUGAUUAGCUAGUUGGUAAGGUAACGGCUUACCAAGGCGACGAUCAGUAGCCGACCUGAGAGGGUGAUCGGCCACAUUGGAACUGAGACACGGUCCAAACUCCUACGGGAGGCAGCAGUGGGGAAUAUUGCACAAUGGGCGAAAGCCUGAUGCAGCAACGCCGCGUGAGCGAUGAAGGCCUUCGGGUCAUAAAGCUCUGUCCUCAAAGAAGAUAAUGACGGUACUUGAGGAGGAAGCCCCGGCUAACUACGUGCCAGCAGCCGCGGUAAUACGUAGGGGGCUAGCGUUAUCCGGAAUUACUGGGCGUAAAGGGUGCGUAGGUGGUUUCUUAAGUCAGAGGUGAAAGGCUACGGCUCAACCGUAGUAAGCCUUUGAAACUGGGAAACUUGAGUGCAGGAGAGGAGAGUGGAAUUCCUAGUGUAGCGGUGAAAUGCCUAGAUAUUAGGAGGAA